This 253-nucleotide ribosomal RNA is filed under the name uncultured bacterium. RNAcentral describes it as "partial 16S ribosomal RNA". It matches the Rfam family "Bacterial small subunit ribosomal RNA", at positions 524 to 776 of the family's 1533-position model. The record is from RNAcentral.
UACGGGGGGAGCAAGCGUUGUUCGGAUUCAUUGGGCGUAAAGGGUGCGUAGGUGGCGGGGUAAGUCAGGUGUGAAAUCUCGGAGCUCAACUCCGAAACUGCACUUGAUACUGCCUUGCUCGAGUACUGGAGAGGAGAUUGGAAUUUACGGUGUAGCAGUGAAAUGCGUAGAUAUCGUAAGGAAGACCAGUGGCGAAGGCGGGUCUCUGGACAGUUCCUGACGCUGAGGCACGAAGGUCAGGGGAGCAAACGGG